Molecule: ribosomal RNA, 518 nt
Filed under: uncultured bacterium
Lineage: Bacteria
Description: bacterial SSU rRNA
Rfam family: Bacterial small subunit ribosomal RNA
Source: RNAcentral
UAGUCCACGCCGUAAACGAUCAUCACUCGCUGUUGGCGAUAUACUGUCAGCGACCAAGCGAAAGUAUUAAGUGAUGCACCUGGGGAGUACGCCGGCAACGGUGAAACUCAAAGGAAUUGACGGGGGCCCGCACAAGCGGUGGAGCAUGUGGUUUAAUUCGAUGAUACACGAGGAACCUUACCAGGGCUUAAAUGUAGUAUGACCGGUCUGGAAACAGGCCUUCCCUUCGGGGCAGAUUACAAGGUGCUGCAUGGUUGUCGUCAGCUCGUGCCGUGAGGUGUUAGGUUAAGUCCUGCAACGAGCGCAACCCCUAUUCUUAGUUGCCAGCGGUUCGCCGGGGACUCUAAGAAGACUGCCAGCGCAAGCUGAGAGGAAGGUGGGGAUGACGUCAAAUCAUCACGGGCCCUUACGUCCUGGGGCUACACACGUGCUACAGUGGGGGAGUACAAAGGGGUUGCGAAGCCGCGAGGGUGGGAGCUAAUCUCAUAAAACUUCUCGUAGUCCGGGAUUGGGAGUCU